This 459-nucleotide ribosomal RNA is filed under the name uncultured bacterium. Its description in RNAcentral is "partial 16S ribosomal RNA". It matches the Rfam family "Bacterial small subunit ribosomal RNA", at positions 338 to 795 of the family's 1533-position model. The record is from RNAcentral.
CCUACGGGAGUCAGCAGUGAGGAAUAUUGGUCAAUGGGCGUAAGCCUGAACCAGCCAAGUCGCGUGAGGGAUGAAGGUUCUAUGGAUCGUAAACCUCUUUUAUCAGGGCAUAAAAUGCGGGACGUGUCCCGUUGUGCGUGUACCUUAUGAAUAAGGAUCGGCUAACUCCGUGCCAGCAGCCGCGGUAAUACGGAGGAUCCGAGCGUUAUCCGGAUUUAUUGGGUUUAAAGGGUGCGCAGGCGGAUUUUUAAGUCAGCGGUAAAAUCGUGGGGCUCAACCCCAUCCAGCCGUGGAAACUGGGGAUCUAGAGUGUGCGAGAGGUAUGCGGAAUGCGUGGUGUAGCGGUGAAAUGCAUAGAUAUCACGCAGAACCCCGAUUGCGAAGGCAGCAUACCGGUGCACAACUGACGCUCAGGCACGAAAGCGUGGGUAUCGAACAGGAUUAGAUACCCGUGUAGUC